Molecule: ribosomal RNA, 521 nt
Filed under: Pseudomonas sp.
Lineage: Bacteria; Pseudomonadati; Pseudomonadota; Gammaproteobacteria; Pseudomonadales; Pseudomonadaceae
Description: partial 16S ribosomal RNA
Rfam family: Bacterial small subunit ribosomal RNA
Source: RNAcentral
GGCUACGAUCCGUAACUGGNCUGAGAGGAUGAUCAGUCACACUGNCAACUGAGACACGGUCCAGCACUCCUACGGGAGGCAGACAAUUGGGGAAUAUUGGACAAUGGGCGAAAGCCUGAUCCANCCAUGCCGCGUGUGUGAAGAAGGUCUUCGGAUUGUANAGCACUUUAAGUUGNGANGAAGGGCANUUACCUAAUACGUGAUUGUUUUGACGNUACCGACAGAAUAANCACCGGCUAACUCUGUGCCANCAGCCGCGGUAAUACAGAGGGUGCAAGCGUUAAUCGGAAUUACUGGGCGUAAAGCGCGCGUANGUGGUUUGUUAAGUUGAAUGUGAAAUCCCCGGGCUCAACCUGGGAACUGCAUCCAAAACUGGCAAGCUAGAGUAUGGUAGAGGGUGGUGGAAUUUCCUGUGUANCGGUGAAAUGCGUANAUAUAGGAAGGAACACCAGUGGCGAAGGCGACCACCUGGACUGAUACUGACACUGAGGUGCGAAAGCGUGGGGAGCAAACAGGAUUAA